UGCCAUGUGGGGUAGGGUCCAGCUUUGAGCACACUUCUGACUCCUCUUUCCCUUUUCCAGAGGAAAAUCACUCUGCUGUCCAUGCCCUGGAACAAUUGGCUCCCAAAAGCAAAGCUUGUCUGUGAUGGGAUGCCAGCUCAUGGUGGAAUUUUCGUAUUUUGAAAGUAAUGCCUGACUGCCCAGGGAGAUUUUAGAGGAAUUGCUGGCUACAUACAAAAAGGAAAAAAGUAUGAAUUACGUUUAAUUCUAUAAUAGGUUCCUGCGGUUGCUGUCUAUCUUAAAGGAAGGAUUACAAGAAGGAAAAGGUUUCAUUCUAUUCACCAAACAUC
This 329-nucleotide long non-coding RNA is filed under the name Felis catus (domestic cat). RNAcentral describes it as "lncRNA (ENSFCAG00000041286.2)". The record is from RNAcentral. Lineage: Eukaryota; Metazoa; Chordata; Mammalia; Carnivora; Felidae.